UCAUUAGAUAUUGAGGCCAACACAUAGCACUUUAUUUUGUUGUAAUCAUCCAACCACUUAUCAUGAGACGUUCUCUAAUCAGCGAUUGGAUGAGUUGGAAGAGGGGCAAGGUCCUGGUCAAGGACAUAGCUAAUUUUCUUGAAACUUAAGACAAUCUUUAAAUUUUGGAGCCAAUUCUUAAAGUUAGGUCUAAUCAAUCUAUUGAUCUCUAGGAUUCAGGCUAGG
Molecule: long non-coding RNA, 225 nt
Filed under: Elaeis guineensis (African oil palm)
Lineage: Eukaryota; Viridiplantae; Streptophyta; Magnoliopsida; Arecales; Arecaceae
Description: long non-coding RNA (EGUI_LNC051800)
Source: RNAcentral